UACAGAGGUCUCGAGCGUUAGGCGGAAUCACUGGGCUUAAAGCGUGUGUAGGCGGAUCGGUAAGUACCUUGUGAAAUCCCACAGCUUAACUGUGGAACUGCGUCCGAUACUGGAGGGCUUGAGUGUGGGAGAGGGAUGCGGAAUUCCAGGUGUAGCGGUGAAAUGCGUAGAUAUCUGGAGGAACACCGGUGGCGAAGGCGGCAUCCUGGACCAUGACUGACGCUGAGGAGCGAAAGCCAGGGGAGCAAACGGG
Molecule: ribosomal RNA, 253 nt
Filed under: uncultured bacterium
Lineage: Bacteria
Description: partial 16S ribosomal RNA
Rfam family: Bacterial small subunit ribosomal RNA
Source: RNAcentral